This 207-nucleotide ribosomal RNA is filed under the name uncultured bacterium. Its description in RNAcentral is "partial 16S ribosomal RNA". It matches the Rfam family "Bacterial small subunit ribosomal RNA", at positions 524 to 733 of the family's 1533-position model. The record is from RNAcentral.
UACAGAGACUGCAAGCGUUAUUCGGAUUCACUGGGCGUAAAGGGUGCGCAGGCGGCCGGGUGUGUCAGAUGUGGAAUCCCGAGGCUUAACCUCGGAACUGCGUCUGAAACUACUCGGCUAGAGUAUUGGAGAGGGUAACGGAAUUCACGGUGUAGCAGUGAAAUGCGUAGAGAUCUGGAGGAAUACCGAUGGCGAAGGCAGCCCCUC